GGUUGUGGAGGAAACUGGUCGGGGCAGUUUUGCUAGUCUGAGCUGCAGCUGGCUUUUGCCUCCAGGCUGCGCCACUUUCUGACACCGCACAGGAGUUAGAGAGCUUUCUUCCCCACCCAGAUGGGGCACUGCGACCGAAAUCUCUUCCACUGAAGGACCAGAGAGGAGCUGAGUUGAGUGCACACACCAAGUGAUUCUCGGGUAGCUCUGAGCCAUGCUGGGUCUGGCUGCAGGCUCCCCGGAAUAGCCGAGGCGCUCCUUUUAAUCGCUGCCAGUAAGGCAAGACAGAAGCACCAGCUGCACAGAGCCAAGGGGAUCCCCGAGUAGGAGCCCACAGCCGAGCAGCAGGCAUCCCGAAGACAUUCCGUCCUGUUCAGACAAGAGCAGAGGGCUUGGAAGAUGCCGUUGUACUGGGUGGAAGCACUGGGACGUCUGGGUGGGAGACAAGCUGAGCAGCAAUGCUGACCGUCCAGCUGAAGGUGGGAGCAGCACCGGCAGGGCAGGAUGUUCUUUGGAGCAAUGGAGGCCGCGGCCUUUGAUGGAGAAUGUGACAGGAGAAGGAAAGAAAGCAGGACGGAGGAGGGAGCAACUGACACAGCGGUUUGCUUCCUGCUCUCAGCUGCAGCCGGCUGUUACCCCCCGGCUGAGGAAAAGCUGCAAAUCCCCCAUUGCCGUUGCUCUUGUUCCAUCGGGCUACGGUUCAACUUCUGCCUUUCGCUUGUGGUCAUCGCAGCCUGCAGGAGAGCAGCAGCGUGUUCAUCUCAGGCAGGGGCUGGGGGAAGCAGGCAGGAUGUGAAGAGGCAAAGGAUGUGAAGGCAGAGACAUGAAAUGCCUGCAGACAGCGUUUGUGUGCUGGGGACGGAGAAGCGGCUGGGGCUGGAGUUUCUCUCUUUGUGAGCUGCUUCCCUGGCCCUUGGCUGCUCCAGCAAGGAGCCUCUUUGCUUGCAGGAGCUUUGUGGAGGUGGCCGUGUUCCUUUCUUCUAUUUCCACUAUUUGUUCUUUGCACAGCAAAACAGAGGCUGCCUUUUGGGGUUUUUUUUGGAUGCUGAAAAGCGGAGGCUGCUGCUUUGGCCGUGGCCAAUAAACAGAGCAUUUCUUCUUUUGGA
This is a long non-coding RNA of Lagopus leucura (white-tailed ptarmigan), 1106 nucleotides long. RefSeq lists it as uncharacterized. The transcript is spliced from 3 exons. NCBI's taxonomy places the organism in Eukaryota, Metazoa, Chordata, Aves, Galliformes, Phasianidae. The record is from RefSeq and is a predicted model, not a curated record.